RNAcentral lists this transfer RNA (542 nucleotides) under uncultured cyanobacterium. Its description in RNAcentral is "partial contains 16S ribosomal RNA, 16S-23S ribosomal RNA intergenic spacer, and 23S ribosomal RNA". The stretch from base 212 to 284 matches the Rfam family "tRNA". Lineage: Bacteria; Bacillati; Cyanobacteriota. The record is from RNAcentral.
CAGGGAGACAACAAAAUGUUUAAUAUUAUUAUUUUGUCACCUUAGGUCGAUCGGUAUCUCACAUUCUUAACUAAUUUAGAAUUUCAAUUCCUAAGUUUUUCUAGGUCACACCCAUUAUUUUUCCUGGGCCAUUAGCUCAGGUGGUUAGAGCGCACCCCUGAUAAGGGUGAGGUCCCUGGUUCAAGUCCAGGAUGGCCCAUAUCUCUAUGUUGGGGGUAUAGCUCAGUUGGUAGAGCGCCUGCUUUGCAAGCAGGAUGUCAGCGGUUCGAGUCCGCUUACCUCCACUGAUUACCACCUCUUACAUAAUUUGAGAGGGAAAUUUUUUUUGAGGUGUGAUCAAAUUCUGAACGAAUCUAGCUUCCUAAUCAAUCUUAUUAAGAUGCUGGAUUCAUUGAAUUAUUUUCAUUGUUUUCAGAGAACCUUGACAACUGCAUAGAUUAUUUUUAAAGACAAUAAGCAUCUUUAAUGAUGCAGAUUUAUUAUUUGUGCGAAUGCAUUAAUAACAAUUCUAUUAAGCUGAUGCUUCAAUUUUUGAAGUUAUU